This 424-nucleotide ribosomal RNA is filed under the name Verrucomicrobiota bacterium. RNAcentral describes it as "Verrucomicrobia bacterium partial 16S ribosomal RNA". It matches the Rfam family "Bacterial small subunit ribosomal RNA", at positions 355 to 776 of the family's 1533-position model. The record is from RNAcentral. Lineage: Bacteria; Pseudomonadati; Verrucomicrobiota.
UGAGGAAUAUUGGUCAAUGGGCGAGAGCCUGAACCAGCCAAGUAGCGUGCAGGAUGACGGCCCUAUGGGUUGUAAACUGCUUUUAUGUGGGGAUAAAGUGCGUGACGUGUCAUGCAUUGCAGGUACCACAUGAAUAAGGACCGGCUAAUUCCGUGCCAGCAGCCGCGGUAAUACGGAAGGUCCGGGCGUUAUCCGGAUUUAUUGGGUUUAAAGGGAGUGUAGGCUGUCUAUUAAGCGUGUUGUGAAAUAUACCGGCUCAACCGGUGGCUUGCAGCGCGAACUGGUCGACUUGAGUAUGCAGGAAGUAGGCGGAAUUCAUGGUGUAGGGGUGAAAUGCUUAGAUAUCAUGACGAACUCCGAUUGCGCAGGCAGCUUACUGUAGCAUAACUGACGCUGAUGCUCGAAAGUGCGGGUAUCAAACAGG